This 330-nucleotide ribosomal RNA is filed under the name Brucella abortus. Its description in RNAcentral is "bacterial SSU rRNA". It matches the Rfam family "Bacterial small subunit ribosomal RNA", at positions 1 to 360 of the family's 1533-position model. The record is from RNAcentral. Lineage: Bacteria; Pseudomonadati; Pseudomonadota; Alphaproteobacteria; Hyphomicrobiales; Brucellaceae.
UCAACUUGAGAGUUUGAUCCUGGCUCAGAACGAACGCUGGCGGCAGGCUUAACACAUGCAAGUCGAGCGCCCCGCAAGGGGAGCGGCAGACGGGUGAGUAACGCGUGGGAACGUACCAUUUGCUACGGAAUAACUCAGGGAAACUUGUGCUAAUACCGUAUGUGCCCUUCGGGGGAAAGAUUUAUCGGCAAAUGAUCGGCCCGCGUUGGAUUAGCUAGUUGGUGGGGUAAAGGCUCACCAAGGCGACGAUCCAUAGCUGGUCUGAGAGGAUGAUCAGCCACACUGGGACUGAGACACGGCCCAGACUCCUACGGGAGGCAGCAGUGGGGA